This 329-nucleotide ribosomal RNA is filed under the name uncultured eukaryote. RNAcentral's name for it is "partial 18S ribosomal RNA". It matches the Rfam family "Eukaryotic small subunit ribosomal RNA", at positions 1470 to 1796 of the family's 1831-position model. The record is from RNAcentral.
CCCUUAGAUGUUCUGGGCCGCACGCGCGCUACACUGUUUGAUUCAGCGAGUCUUAACCUUGACCGAAGGGUUUGGGUAAUCUUCUAAAGUCAAACGUGAUGGGGAUCGAUCAUUGCAAUUAUUGAUCGUGAACGAGGAAUUCCUAGUAAAUGCAAGUCAUCAGCUUGCGUUGAUUACGUCCCUGCCCUUUGUACACACCGCCCGUCGCUACUACCGAUUGAAUGGUUUAGUGAGAUCUCCGGAUUGGCUCUGUAGGUCCCGCAAGGGAUUUAUUAGUAGCCAAGAAGCUGCUCAAACUUGAUCAUUUAGAGGAAGUAAAAGUCGUAACA